Molecule: non-coding RNA, 124 nt
Organism: Gossypium hirsutum (cotton)
Lineage: Eukaryota; Viridiplantae; Streptophyta; Magnoliopsida; Malvales; Malvaceae
Source: Rfam
AAUAAGAGAAUGACAAAUCAGAUUUUUCUUCCUGAUUUUUAACUUUUUUACUCUUGAAAAAAUUCAAAUCCAAUUAAAAAUGCUAAAAACUAGGAGAAAAAAUCUGAUUAGUCAUUUUCCUAUU